RNAcentral lists this long non-coding RNA (208 nucleotides) under Gossypium barbadense (sea-island cotton). RNAcentral describes it as "long non-coding RNA (GBAR_LNC006556)". Lineage: Eukaryota; Viridiplantae; Streptophyta; Magnoliopsida; Malvales; Malvaceae. The record is from RNAcentral.
AUUUUACUAGGUAAUUUCAAUAGAAAUUGAUUUUUAGGACCUAAUUGUGAAAAUGUUUGGAAUUAAAGUCUAGUGCUGAAAUUCUGAUUCCCAAAGGUUAUAAAGUAGUUUAAAGUGAUAGAAUAAUGUGUUAAUUGAGAAAAAUCAGCUCAAUUGAGAGGCUAAUUGAGUAGGGAUGAAAUUAUUAUUUAUUAAAAGCUUAGGGAAA